Molecule: ribosomal RNA, 747 nt
Filed under: Ligilactobacillus acidipiscis
Lineage: Bacteria; Bacillati; Bacillota; Bacilli; Lactobacillales; Lactobacillaceae
Description: bacterial SSU rRNA
Rfam family: Bacterial small subunit ribosomal RNA
Source: RNAcentral
UGCAGUCGAACGCAAUCUUUGACUAAUGAGUGCUUGCACUCAGCGGUCAAAGUGCGAGUGGCGAACGGGUGAGUAACACGUGGGCAAUCUGCCCGAAAGUGGGGGAUAACACUUGGAAACAGGUGCUAAUACCGCAUCAACCGGCUGACCGCAUGGUCGGCCGGGCAAAGACGGCGUCAGCUGUCGCUUUUGGAUGAGCCCGCGGCGUAUUAACUAGUUGGUAAGGUAACGGCUUACCAAGGUGAUGAUACGUAGCCGAACUGAGAGGUUGAUCGGCCACAUUGGGACUGAGACACGGCCCAAACUCCUACGGGAGGCAGCAGUAGGGAAUCUUCCACAAUGGACGCAAGUCUGAUGGAGCAACGCCGCGUGUAUGAAGAAGGUCUUCGGAUCGUAAAAUACUGUUGUCAGAGAAGAACACGUGAUAAAGUAACUGUUAUCGCGCUGACGGUAUCUGACCAGCAAGUCACGGCUAACUACGUGCCAGCAGCCGCGGUAAUACGUAGGUGGCAAGCGUUGUCCGGAUUUAUUGGGCGUAAAGGGAACGCAGGCGGUCUUUUAAGUCUGAUGUGAAAGCCUUCGGCUUAACCGGAGAAGUGCAUUGGAAACUGGAAGACUUGAGUGCAGAAGAGGAGAGUGGAACUCCAUGUGUAGCGGUGAAAUGCGUAGAUAUAUGGAAGAACACCAGUGGCGAAAGCGGCUCUCUGGUCUGUAACUGACGCUGAGGUUCGAAAGCGUGGGGAGCGA